UUUCCGGUUGAUCCUGCCGGAGGCCACUGCUAUGGGGGUCCGACUAAGCCAUGCGAGUGGUGGGCACCCGGGGGGCAACCCUUGGGAGACCCCGCGCACGGCUCAGUAACACGUCGUCAACCUGCCCUGGGGCGGGGGAUAACCUCGGGAAACUGAGGACAAUACCCCAUAGGCAAGAGGUGCUGGAAUGCCCUUUUGCUGAAAGCCUUCGGGCGCCCCAGGAUGGGACGGCGGCCUAUCAGGUAGUUGGUGGUGUAACGGACCACCAAGCCUACGACGGGUAGCCGCCCUGAGAGGGGGAGCGGCGAGAUGGGCACUGAGACAAGGGCCCAGGCCCUACGGGGCGCAGCAGGCGCGAAACCUCCGCAAUGGGCGAAAGCCUGACGGGGGGACCCCCAGUGCCGCUGGCCUUCUGGCCGGCGGCUUUUCUGGAGUCUAAACAGCUCCAGGAAUAAGGGCUGGGUAAGUCGGGUGCCAGCCGCCGCGGUAAUACCCGCAGCCCAAGUGGUGGCCGCUAUUAUUGGGCCUAAAGCGCUCGUAGCCGGAUCGGCAAGUCCCCCGUGAAAUCGGCCAGUAAACUGGUCGGCGUGCGGGGGAUACUGCUGGUCUAGGGGCCGGGAGACGCCAGGGGUACUCCGGGGGUAGGGGUGAAAUCCUGUAAUCCCCGGGGGACCACCGGUGGCGAAGGCGCCUGGCGAGAACGGACCCGACGGUGAGGGGCGAAGGCUGGGGGAGCAAAGGGGAUUAGAUACCCCCGUAGUCCCAGCAGUAAAGGAUGCGGGCUAGGUGUCGGGUGUCCCUAGAGGACGUCCGGGUGCCGGAGGGAGCCGUUAAGCCCGCCGCCUGAUAAGUACGGCCGCAGGCUGAACUUAAAGAAUUGGCGGGGGAGCACCACACCGAGUGGUCCUGCGGGUUCAUUGGAUUCC
Molecule: ribosomal RNA, 926 nt
Filed under: uncultured euryarchaeote
Lineage: Archaea; Methanobacteriati; Methanobacteriota
Description: bacterial SSU rRNA
Rfam family: Archaeal small subunit ribosomal RNA
Source: RNAcentral